This is a long non-coding RNA of Lactuca sativa (garden lettuce), 1333 nucleotides long. RefSeq lists it as uncharacterized. The record is from RefSeq and is a predicted model, not a curated record. Lineage: Eukaryota; Viridiplantae; Streptophyta; Magnoliopsida; Asterales; Asteraceae.
CUCCUUCAGUGUACAAUGCUCGAUUUUUGUUUCCCACUGAGUUGUUGUCGCUGACCAGGUCGUUGUUCAGCGGAUUAGAUGACGAUGUCGCCGGAGUUUCUACCGGCAAAUUCUCUUCCUCCCAAUAUCCGUCAUCGUAAUUUUCUCCAGAGAAUUCACUUUGGGCAAAAAUAGGCGCCCAUUCAAAGGAGUCUACCGCUUUCUCCACUACUCUGAUCACAAAUUUCUCCCCAUCCACUAAGACAUUGAUGGUUUCUUGAAUCCAGUUACUGAAAGAAGUUGCGAUGCCUAGAUUUCCAACCGCUUUUUUACUUUUCUCCGGUUGACAAUCUUCUUUUUCAAGCACCUCCCCCAUAUCCUUCCCACUUCUGAGAAAGCGUCAGAAGUCCAAGCUGAUUGUGAAUUGUUAGGGUGCUGUUUGGUACGCUGUGGGGAAUGGAAAGCAUUAAUCCGUCCCGAUCAGAAAAUGUUGUCUGUUUCUGUUAAAUCGAAAGGAAGGAGUCAUUAAGAAUUCCAUUCUUUCAAAACGUGUAUUUUUAUUUCCCGAACCAAUCAUCUAUUUAAAAUAGAUUGAUAAUCAUGUUGAAGAGUAUAGGUGGAUAGAUUUCAGUUGUAGAAGCAGUGUCGUUAAGAUGUGCAUAACAAAUCUGAGCAGGAUACCAACCAACAGGUAUGUAUUGCUUUCUUUCAUCAUAGUUGUUGUCCAUUGGUUUCCAACAGACAAAACUCCAUUUGAGUUUAUUUCUUAUUAUUUUCUUGAACAGAUUUAUUUUUACAUGCAUAUUAAGUGUUUGAUGAAACGACCGAAUGAAAUAUAUUGAAUGGUAUGCCAUAUUUAUUUGUAUGGUGUACUUUGAUUCUACUUUUACUUGUAGCGUGGUAAUUGUGCAAAGCAUCCUCAACUUUACGUUGAUCCUACUGUUAUUGGAUGUAUAUAGAACAUGUAAUAUACAAAUUAUACAAAGGAAUAAUAAUAAAAAACAAUUAAACAAAGGAAUAAAUAAGAUGGUUUCUGAUGAAGUAUGAGAUGUCAUACUCCUAACACAAGUAUAGAAUCAUUGUAAAGCUAAAACAAUUGUAUAAUGUUCACUAUGUUUUCCAUAUCAGCUCACAAGUCACAUCAUUAUCUCAUAUAUCUGCUUACAACGGCCGAAACUCAAGGCUGCUUAUAAUAAGGCCAGACAUAGUACCUUUAUAACUUAUGAGCUUCAAAUUGAUAUAAGCACAAUCAUCUCGAAUCUCAUUACUUGAGUUAAAUUUCCACACAUUGACUUCCAUCCAUCCAUCUUCCCUCUCUUUUGGAACCCGAUCAGUAUCAUUGACAUUACAUGGG